AGAGUUUGAUCCUGGCUCAGGAUGAACGCUGGCGGCGUGCCUAACACAUGCAAGUCGAGCGAUUCACUUCGGUGAAGAGCGGCGGACGGGUGAGUAACGCGUGGGUAACCUGCCUCAUACACAUGGAUAACAUACCGAAAGGUAUGCUAAUACAGGAUAAUAUAAGAGAUUCACAUGUAUUUCUUAUCAAAGCUCCGGCGGUAUGAGAUGGACCCGCGUCUGAUUAGCUAGUUGGUAAGGUAAUGGCUUACCAAGGCGACGAUCAGUAGCCGACCUGAGAGGGUGAUCGGCCACAUUGGAACUGAGACACGGUCCAAACUCCUACGGGAGGCAGCAGUGGGGAAUAUUGCACAAUGGGCGAAAGCCUGAUGCCAGCAACGCCGCGUGAGUGAUGAAGGCCUUCGGGUCGUAAAACUCUGUCCUCAAGGAAGAUAAUGACGGUACUUGAGGAGGAAGCCCCGGCUAACUACGUGCCAGCCGCUGC
Molecule: ribosomal RNA, 484 nt
Filed under: uncultured bacterium
Lineage: Bacteria
Description: bacterial SSU rRNA
Rfam family: Bacterial small subunit ribosomal RNA
Source: RNAcentral